AUUGAACGCUGGCGGCAGGCCUAACACAUGCAAGUCGAGCGGAUGAAGGGAGCUUGCUCCCUGAUUCAGCGGCGGACGGGUGAGUAAUGCCUAGGAAUCUACCUGGUAGUGGGGGACAACGUUUCGAAAGGAACGCUAAUACCGCAUACGUCCUACGGGAGAAAGUGGGGGAUCUUCGGACCUCACGCUCUCAGAUGCGCGUAGGUACGAUUGGCUAGUUGGUGAGGUAAAGGCUAACCAAGGCGACGAUCGUUAACUGGUCUGGAGAGGAUGAUCAGUCACACUGGAACUGAGACACGGUCCAGACUCCUACGGGAGGCAGCAGUGGGGAAUAUUGGACAAUGGGCGAAAGCCUGAUCCAGCCAUGCCGCGUGUGUGAAGAAGGUCCUCGGAUUGUAAAGCACUUUAAGUUGGGAGGAAGGGCAGUAAGUUAAUACCUUGCUGUUUUGACGUUACCAACAGAAUAAGCACCGGCUAACUUCGUGCCAGCCGCCGCCGUAACAC
RNAcentral lists this ribosomal RNA (504 nucleotides) under uncultured bacterium. RNAcentral describes it as "bacterial SSU rRNA". It matches the Rfam family "Bacterial small subunit ribosomal RNA", at positions 30 to 526 of the family's 1533-position model. The record is from RNAcentral.